RNAcentral lists this ribosomal RNA (630 nucleotides) under uncultured Alphaproteobacteria bacterium. RNAcentral describes it as "bacterial SSU rRNA". It matches the Rfam family "Bacterial small subunit ribosomal RNA", at positions 8 to 684 of the family's 1533-position model. The record is from RNAcentral. Lineage: Bacteria; Pseudomonadati; Pseudomonadota; Alphaproteobacteria.
AGAGUUUGAUCCUGGCUCAGAACGAACGCUGGCGGCAGGCCUCCCACAUGCAAGUCGAGCGCGCCUUUCGGGGUGAGCGGCGGACGGGUUAGUAACGCGUGGGAAUAUACCCUUUGGUACGGAAUAGCCUCUGGAAACGGAGAGUAAUACCGUAUGACCCCUUCGGGGGAAAGAUUUAUCGCCAAAGGAUUAGCCCGCGUUAGAUUAGGUAGUUGGUGGGGUAAUGGCCUACCAAGCCUACGAUCUAUAGCUGGUUUUAGAGGAUGAUCAGCAACACUGGGACUGAGACACGGCCCAAACUCCUACGGGAGGCAGCAGUGGGGAAUCUUGGACAAUGGGGGCAACCCUGAUCCAGCCAUGCCGCGUGAGUGAUGAAGGCCUUAGGGUCGUAAAGCUCUUUCGCCUGUGAAGAUAAUGACGGUAGCAGGUAAAGAAACCCCGGCUAACUCCGUGCCAGCAGCCGCGGUAAUACGGAGGGGGUUAGCGUUGUUCGGAAUUACUGGGCGUAAAGCGCACGUAGGCGGACCAGAAAGUUGGGGGUGAAAUCCCGGGGCUCAACCCCGGAACUGCCUCCAAAACUAUUGGUCUAGAGUUCGAGAGAGGUGAGUGGAAUUCCGAGCGUAGAGGUGA